RNAcentral lists this ribosomal RNA (489 nucleotides) under Vibrio alginolyticus. RNAcentral describes it as "bacterial SSU rRNA". It matches the Rfam family "Bacterial small subunit ribosomal RNA", at positions 386 to 867 of the family's 1533-position model. Lineage: Bacteria; Pseudomonadati; Pseudomonadota; Gammaproteobacteria; Vibrionales; Vibrionaceae. The record is from RNAcentral.
AUGCAGCCAUGCCGCGUGUGUGAAGAAGGCCUUCGGGUUGUAAAGCACUUUCAGUCGUGAGGAAGGUAGUGUAGUUAAUAGCUGCAUUAUUUGACGUUAGCGACAGAAGAAGCACCGGCUAACUCCGUGCCAGCAGCCGCGGUAAUACGGAGGGUGCGAGCGUUAAUCGGAAUUACUGGGCGUAAAGCGCAUGCAGGUGGUUUGUUAAGUCAGAUGUGAAAGCCCGGGGCUCAACCUCGGAAUAGCAUUUGAAACUGGCAGACUAGAGUACUGUAGAGGGGGGUAGAAUUUCAGGUGUAGCGGUGAAAUGCGUAGAGAUCUGAAGGAAUACCGGUGGCGAAGGCGGCCCCCUGGACAGAUACUGACACUCAGAUGCGAAAGCGUGGGGAGCAAACAGGAUUAGAUACCCUGGUAGUCCACGCCGUAAACGAUGUCUACUUGGAGGUUGUGGCCUUGAGCCGUGGCUUUCGGAGCUAACGCGUUAAGUAG